CACCAUUGCCAUGCCUCUGUGUGCUCCAGAGUAUUCGGUGGUACAGGUCCAAGGGAUGGAUGCCAUGGAGAUAAAGUCCCUGGCCCAGGGCCCCCCAGCCCGAGGGGCAGGAGACCUUUCCAUGCCUCUGGGAUGUUUUUGUUUAUUUCUAACUCUGAGCUCCUUCUCUGUGGGGGAGGAGCUUCCCUUUCCGUCUCCAGGGCUGCUGAGAAAAUGUUGGACAGAGGAAGGAAGGCAGGGCAGGGCCAGGCUGCAGCUAGCAUCUGGACUGUUGGCUAAGGCUGGUGAUGGCACAGAAGACCCUUGCCCCCUUUUACAGCUUCUCGCCUAGAAGCCUGGCCCAGAUGCCUGAAUUCCCACCUUCCAUGCACUUAGCCCUGGGGCUUGCAGUUUUGCCAGGUCCUUACUGCCUCCUCCCUCCUGUGGCCUGCCCGGAGGGGCACACAAGCAAAGCCAGUGCCUCUGUGGACAGGCAGCUUAAGACAUUAGGAGACAAAUGAAGGAAGGAGGCAAAACUUCCAAGGCCGGACUAUCUCCUCUGGACCAGAGUUUCGGCCUGCUGGGAAUGGAGUCACCAGCCCCGGGGGGGCUGACAGGUGGCUCCCGCCUGCAGAGCUGUAACUCAUCCCUGCUGCUGAACAGGAAAGGGCCUGCCUUACCCAGACCCCAUCCUCCAGAAAGGGUUAGUCAGGCAAGUGUGCUGAGAGGCCCCUGGGAACCUCGUCUCGAUUAACCCAUCAGAAAGCAGCCCAUCCUUUGCACCCAGCUCUCAGAUGGAAAAGUGAAGCCCAGAAGGAAGGGACCUGACACGGAGGCUUCCUUGGUAGCGUUUCAGUCUCAAGGGAAGAACUGUGGGCCUCCCCUGGAGCACUGGUGAAGGAAGGGGUUGGUUUGGAUAUUGUCUCCUGACUGGGAUAUGGGCAGGACUGACAGGGAGCUGGAGUCCUAACGAAGCCUGGGCUAGGUGCAGGAAGAACCAACCCAGUGGUCUCCUGACAUCUCCCAUGCCCCCACCGCAGCUGGGUCACCUCCGGAAUAAGGAAGAGAGAGCUGGAGGUGGAGGAACUAAGGACCUUCUUUGCCAGGUGGGGACUUAAAGUUUCAGUUACCCAUUGCUGGGGCUCAGAAACCAAUACCCCGAAAUAUAGUGGUGUGACAUUCUGAACUGAAGAAGCCUUAAGGUCUCUCCGACCAGACUCCCACAGGCCCCCCAACCCUUUGUCUCUUCCAAAGCAUACAGUGAAGUUGUUCUCUGAAAUUCCUCAUCUGCCUUAAGUCUGGACCCAUCAAAGAAGAAAACAAUGACCACUGGUCCUUUCCCAGAGUUUUCUCUGACUGAACUCCUGUCACAGGAAGAAAGACUGAAGCCUGCUCACACACCUGGACAGAUUUUGCAAACCGUUGUCUGCUCUGUGAGCCCAACAGACUUUGUCCCAGGCCACUGUAUGUUCUUCAAGCCCACUGAAUUCCCCUGAAAAUCAUUUACUAGCCCCCUGAAAUUACCCACACUUCCUCAUUGCUCAUCUGUACCCCAUUUCGUGGUGGGGCAGUCACUCUGAUUUCCCCUUGCAUGCUAAUGAAUGUGUAUUCCAUUUCUAUUCUGCUUUUAUGAGCUGACUUUUCAGUGAACCUUCAGAGGGUAAAGGGGAAGUUUUCCCUUGGCCCCUGCACCGCAAUUGGUAAGGUCCAAAAUGUUAAAUGGAAAAUUCCAGAAAUAGCUGGUCGUGAUGGCUCCCGCCUGUAAUCCCAGCACUUUGGGAGGCCGAGGUAGGUGGAUAGCUUGAGGUCAGGAGUUCGAGAGCAGCCUGGCCAACAUGGUGAAACCCUGUCUGUACUAAAAGUACCAAAAUUAGCUGGGCUUGGUGGCGCACGCCUGUAGUCCCCGCUACUUGGGAGGCUGAGGCAGGAGAAUCACCUGAACCUGGGAGACAGAGGUUGCAGUGAGCAGAGAUCGCAC
This 1957-nucleotide long non-coding RNA is filed under the name Pan troglodytes (chimpanzee). RNAcentral's name for it is "long non-coding RNA NONPTRT002275". The record is from RNAcentral. Lineage: Eukaryota; Metazoa; Chordata; Mammalia; Primates; Hominidae.